CCUACGGGUGGCAGCAGUGGGGAAUAUUGGACAAUGGGGGGAACCCUGAUCCAGCCAUGCCGCGUGUGUGAAGAAGGCCCUCGGGUUGUAAAGCACUUUCAGUGAGGAAGAACGCCUGGUGGUUAAUACCCAUCAGGAAAGACAUCACUCACAGAAGAAGCACCGGCUAACUCCGUGCCAGCAGCCGCGGUAAUACGGAGGGUGCGAGCGUUAAUCGGAAUUACUGGGCGUAAAGCGCGCGUAGGUGGCUUGAUAAGCCGGUUGUGAAAGCCCCGGGCUCAACCUGGGAACGGCAUCCGGAACUGUCAAGCUUGAGUGCAGGAGAGGAAGGUAGAAUUCCCGGUGUAGCGGUGAAAUGCGUAGAGAUCGGGAGGAAUACCAGUGGCGAAGGCGGCCUUCUGGACUGACACUGACACUGAGGUGCGAAAGCGUGGGUAGCAAACAGGAUUAGAUACCCUUGUAGUC
Molecule: ribosomal RNA, 465 nt
Filed under: Vreelandella stevensii
Lineage: Bacteria; Pseudomonadati; Pseudomonadota; Gammaproteobacteria; Oceanospirillales; Halomonadaceae
Description: partial 16S ribosomal RNA
Rfam family: Bacterial small subunit ribosomal RNA
Source: RNAcentral